This is a long non-coding RNA of Cyprinus carpio (common carp), 1341 nucleotides long. The record is from Ensembl. NCBI's taxonomy places the organism in Eukaryota, Metazoa, Chordata, Actinopteri, Cypriniformes, Cyprinidae.
ACUGGAUAUUGUGGAGUGGAGUUUGUAGUGCUCGUAAUGCUAUAAUUUGAAAAGAAAAAGAAAAAUGUCAGACAUAACUCGUUAAAAUCUGUUGAACCUGUAAGCUACAACUUCUCUGAUUUACAAGAUUUAACAUUUUUUUAAUCCUGCAUAGUGCACCUUUAAAUGUACUACAAACAAAAAAUGCAAACAAACCUCAAGAAUUGCUCAGGAGAUAAAGCUCAAUGAUCAAUCUAAACAAAGAAAGAAUGAACAAAAAAAUGAAUAAAUUAAUGCUUGACAGCACACAACAGGGACAGUUAAUAACAACAAAACACAGGUCUACGACUUUCAAUAUACCUCUUAUGACUAAAACCAGAAAAAAAAAAAUCUAAUUUUAUUCUUAAUAUAAACAAUGAAUAUGCUGUCUCUCCAAAUAUAUGUCAGGACACAAAAAACACACCACAUGCCAAUAAAUACCAACAUUAAGGCAACUACAACAAAUAACCUGCUAGAGGCUAAAAAGAGAGAUUUAUUUAAUUUCAUUUAUUUAUUUAUUUUCAAAAAAUAUUUUUAUACUCGCCAAAGCUGAUAAAUUUAGUAAAAACAGUAAUAUUGUCAAUUAUUAUUACAGCUUAAAUUUACUUUUUAUUUUAUUAUAUUUUUACAUUUAAUUUAUUUUGGUGAUGGCAAACUGAAUUAUCAUAGUGUACUCCAUUUGUCAGUGUCAUGUUAUCAUCAAUAUUGAAAACAGUUGUGCUGCCUCAUAUUUUUGUGGAAAAGGUGAAUUAUAACUAUUAAUUUUGGGUUCAAUUUUUUUUUAUACUUUUACUAAGCAGACAUGAACUUAUCAAAAGUGUCAGUAUUUAACUGUUACAUAAGAUUUUGGACUUUUUUUUACUUUAUAUUCAAAGAAUGCUGAAAAAUGCAUCAGUUUAUUACAAAUCUUUAAAAUGCAUAACAGUUUAUCACAAAAAGUUUUGUGUUGCCCUUAAGGCAGUUAAUAAUUUAAUAAAUAAGUUAAAUGGUUUAAAAUGUUUAAAUGAAGCAUUUCUAAGAGUUUCUUAUAAGUAUUUCAUGUGUAUUUGUAAGUUUUAUUUAAAAAAUAUUAGCGGACAUUUUGAUUCUGGCUCGGCCGCGUUAACUUCCGGUUCGGCCGCGAUAACUUCCGGUUUCGGUUUCAUGGUAAACAGAGCAGGCGAAAUCCAGCAUGGUACGGUCAGCAAUCUGUCGCCAUUCUCACUAAAGCACUGUCAAGGCAAUGCCUUUUCACCAUCUGGAGAAGAAAUUAAAAUGCAAAAACGUCCUUUGUGGUCCUGGUCUUCUUCAGUGGUUUAUCUACGUGUUCAUUUGGCAACAUAA